This is a long non-coding RNA of Erigeron canadensis, 1176 nucleotides long. RefSeq lists it as uncharacterized. The record is from RefSeq and is a predicted model, not a curated record. The transcript has 2 exons. Lineage: Eukaryota; Viridiplantae; Streptophyta; Magnoliopsida; Asterales; Asteraceae.
GACAAAAAAAACACUCAGACGACCAACGAAAUGAAAUGAAGCAAGAGCAGAGGGAAGAGGAUGUUUUUCCAAGGGUUGUUGACCCCCCUUUGACGCUUAUGGUUUUCUCGUUCUGCGCCCCUUUCCCCUAAUUUCUCAACAACCCUUUUUAUUCUAUCUAUACGACUAUACUAGUAUACUCCGUAUUAUAUUAUAUGGGUCGAAAUAUUUAUUUAUUUUAUUGAACGGCAAAUCUAUUCUUCUACUACUACUACUCGGGCCAUAGUAUUUGUCACAGGACGAUUUAUGUAAUUUUCUCUUUGUCCCAAGGGAGUGAUAUAUUUACCACAAUUAUUAGCUAUUAACAACAAUGCAUACAUUAUAUAGUUGUACACUCUACUGUAUAAUUUUGAUAACAGGCAAGACAGGGGCAGUGAUGAUAAAUGUGUCUCUAUAUGUUGGUCGUUUGAGUGUUUGGGGGGUCAAACAUUGAGAUUUAGCCGUAUCUUGGCGGGGCAUCCAUUUGCAGCCAUGGCGGUUUUAUCCUUGUUUUUGUACCCACUGUUUUUACAGAUCUGAGCCCCCUCAUUAUUAUUUUUAUUAAAAUGGAGGACAGGCACAAUCCAGAGAGCAGUUGAGCGAAGGGAUGUUUGUGUGGUUGCCCCCUCGGGCCUGUUAUGAGCAUAUAUUUUUUACUUGCUGAAUGGAUGAUCACAAAACAUUAUAAUAGGAGACGUGAUGAUAAGUUUCUACUUGUUUCAGUUUUACUAAAAUUUAAUUUCUUCAAAGACAUGAUUCUUUUUUUUUCUUUUUCUUUUUUUCACCUGUAUUUCAAUGUAGUAUGCAUUACAAUACACGUUGUUGUCUGUUGGCAUUUCCUGUUGGCUACUUUUUGAUCGUUAGGAAUUGCCCUCUUUAUUGCCCGGUCAUGACGAUUAAUUUUUACAUCUGUGGGUUAACCAGGCAAAAGAUGAUAAUGAUCCCAUCUUGGGGAGACAAUUUGGGUGGUCUUUUAUUUGUUUCUCUUUUUCGGAUUUCCAAGACUUGGACAUUGUUUAAAUGGAAGGCUUCUUGAUCUUUUGUAGAGUAUGUAACUUUUGAUGUAGCCACCUCAAGGAUAAACAAUUGGAUAUGUGGGGUUUUUUUUUUGUUUUUUUUUUAAUAAUAUUGAAUUUUUACCAUGUAUUCCUCCUUUAA